UCUCAUUCAUCUAACACUCAAAACCCAAAGCACUAAAACACCAAAGUGCCGAAGCCCCUAGCCACAGCAGCACCCAGCAGCCGGCUAGCACACGCCCAGGUCCAUCGCACGCCAAUCUCGCGCACACCACGCGUACCUUGCCUCGUGCUGCUUCAACCUCAGCUCAAGCCAAGCCUUUAUCCCACACACCCUGCGUGUGACCAAGUGCUACCUACUGCCGAACGUCUGUGUCGCUGCUUGCAUCCAGCCCUGCUGUGCAUCGUUGCUCCCACACGCACCACGCCCACACACCGUAGCUGCUUGUGCGGCAUUCUUCAUUCAUCCACCCUAUGCCAAUAAACCCUCCAACCCUCC
This 354-nucleotide long non-coding RNA is filed under the name Gossypium barbadense (sea-island cotton). Its description in RNAcentral is "long non-coding RNA (GBAR_LNC012188)". The record is from RNAcentral. Lineage: Eukaryota; Viridiplantae; Streptophyta; Magnoliopsida; Malvales; Malvaceae.